AGUGGCGAACGGGUGAGUAAAGUAUCGGAACGUGCCCAGUCGUGGGGGAUAACGUAGCGAAAGUUACGCUAAUACCGCAUACGAUCUAUGGAUGAAAGCGGGGGAUCGCAAGACCUCGCGCGAUUGGAGCGGCCGAUAUCAUAUUAGGUAGUUGGUGGGGUAAAGGCUCACCAAGCCGACGAUCUGUAGCUGGUCUGAGAGGACGACCAGCCACACUGGGACUGAGACACGGCCCACACUCCUACGGGAGGCAGCAGUGGGGAAUUUUGGACAAUGGGCGCAAGCCUGAUCCAGCCAUGCCGCGUGCAGGAUGAAGGCCUUCGGGUUGUAAACUGCUUUUGUACGGAACGAAAAGGUUUGGCCUAAUAAGCUGAGCUCAUGACGGUACCGUAAGAAUAAGCACCGGCUAACUACGUGCCAGCAGCCGCGGUAAUACGUAGGGUGCGAGCGUUAAUCGGAAUUACUGGGCGUAAAGCGUGCGCAGGCGGUUAUGUAAGACAGAUGUGAAAUCCCCGGGCUCAACCUGGGAACUGCAUUAGUGACUGCAUAGCUGGAGUACGGCAGAGGGGGAUGGAAUUCCGCGUGUAGCAGUGAAAUGCGUAGAUAUGCGGAGGAACACCGAUGGCGAACGCCAUCCCCUGCGUCUGUACUGACGCUCAUGCACGAAAGCGUGGG
This 675-nucleotide ribosomal RNA is filed under the name uncultured Curvibacter sp. Its description in RNAcentral is "bacterial SSU rRNA". It matches the Rfam family "Bacterial small subunit ribosomal RNA", at positions 94 to 765 of the family's 1533-position model. Lineage: Bacteria; Pseudomonadati; Pseudomonadota; Betaproteobacteria; Burkholderiales; Comamonadaceae. The record is from RNAcentral.